GGAGGAUCAUUAUCGUAAAACCGAGGUGCAAGGGUUGUCGCUGACCUUUCUAAAGGUCGUGCACGCCCGAGCGCUCUCACCACAAUCCAUCUCACCCCUUUUGUGCAUCACCGCGUGGGUCCUCCUUUGCGGGAGGGCUCGCGUUUUCACACAAAACUUGACAUAGUCUGGAAUGUUUUAUUUUUGCUGUAACAUGCAAUCAAUACAACUUUCAACAACGGAUCUCUUGGCUCUCGCAUCGAUGAAGAACGCAGCGAAAUGCGAUACGUAAUGUGAAUUGCAGAAUUCAGUGAAUCAUCGAAUCUUUGAACGCACCUUGCGCCCCUUGGCAUUCCGAGGGGCACACCCGUUUGAGUGUCGUGAAAUUCUCAAAAGUCCUUUUCUUUGAUCGGAAUGGGUCUUUUGGACUUGGAGGUUCAAUGCUCGCGUUCACCUUUGAAAGCGAGCUCCUCUCAAAUGAAUUAGUGGGGUCCGCUUUGCUGAUCCUUGACGUGAUAAGAUGUUUCUACGUUUUGGAUCUGGCACUGUUUUCUCCGCUCCCAACCGUC
Molecule: ribosomal RNA, 548 nt
Filed under: uncultured Russulaceae
Lineage: Eukaryota; Fungi; Basidiomycota; Agaricomycetes; Russulales; Russulaceae
Description: eukaryotic LSU rRNA
Rfam family: 5.8S ribosomal RNA (bases 207-360)
Source: RNAcentral